GACGAACGCUGGCGGCGUGCCUAAUACAUGCAAGUAGAACGCUGAAGGAGGAGCUUGCUUCUCUGGAUGAGUUGCGAACGGGUGAGUAACGCGUAGGUAACCUGCCUGGUAGCGGGGGAUAACUAUUGGAAACGAUAGCUAAUACCGCAUAAUAUUGACUAUUGCAUGAUAGUCAGUUGAAAGGUGCAACUGCACCACUACCAGAUGGACCUGCGUUGUAUUAGCUAGUUGGUGGGGUAACGGCUCACCAAGGCGACGAUACAUAGCCGACCUGAGAGGGUGAUCGGCCACACUGGGACUGAGACACGGCCCAGACUCCUACGGGAGGCAGCAGUAGGGAAUCUUCGGCAAUGGACGGAAGUCUGACCGAGCAACGCCGCGUGAGUGAAGAAGGGUUUCGGAUCGUAAAGCUCUGUUGUAAGAGAAAAACGAGUGUGAGAGUGGAAAGCUCACACUGUGACGGUAUCUUACCAGAAAGGGACGGCUAACUACGUG
This 495-nucleotide ribosomal RNA is filed under the name uncultured bacterium. RNAcentral describes it as "partial 16S ribosomal RNA". It matches the Rfam family "Bacterial small subunit ribosomal RNA", at positions 28 to 507 of the family's 1533-position model. The record is from RNAcentral.